UACGUAGGGUGCGAGCGUUGUCCGGAAUUAUUGGGCGUAAAGAGCUCGUAGGCGGUCUGUCGCGUCGGUCGUGAAAACUUGGGGCUCAACCCCAAGCUUGCAGUCGAUACGGGCAGGCUAGAGUUCGGUAGGGGAGACUGGAAUUCCUGGUGUAGCGGUGAAAUGCGCAGAUAUCAGGAGGAACACCGGUGGCGAAGGCGGCAUCCUGGACCGGCAUUGACGCUGAGGCGCGAAAGCCAGGGGAGCAAACGGG
RNAcentral lists this ribosomal RNA (253 nucleotides) under uncultured bacterium. Its description in RNAcentral is "partial 16S ribosomal RNA". It matches the Rfam family "Bacterial small subunit ribosomal RNA", at positions 524 to 776 of the family's 1533-position model. The record is from RNAcentral.